UUGCUGCAAAGAGCUUCAAACAUGUGCCAUGGACUCGUGGGUGUUCUUAAUCAAUGCUAAGUAACAUUCAAUUGUUUCCUAUGUUAUCUUCAGUAUUAUCUCAAUCCAUGCCAAUAGGAUUUUCCAGAGUGAAAUGACGAUGAACAACUUCAAUUCCCAAAUAAAUAAGGGUAUAUUUUACAUUGCCCAAGCAUAGAAAAAAUUAAUGUAUAAGCACCAACCCUCUGUAUAACCGACUAAGUCAUUCUGUUCAUCAAAUCCACUAUGACUAUGUUCAGGACCAAAAACCUAGCCAGUUGAAAAUUGUCAUACUGUACUAGCUUUGCUCCAUAUGUCGAGAUGGUUAAGGUGCUCUUCCGUGGAUGGCAUGUCUGACUCCUGAUGACCAUCUUCUACGUUUUCUAGAGAUGCACUUUAUUUGCAAUGCCUUCACUUGCAGAAGAUAGUGCACAUAGUAAGACAGCACUAAGACCUCAUCCGACUAAUCUCUCACAUAGACCAUGAAUUUAAUAAGGGUAGAGCAUCACACAAAGAGGGUUUCAGUUUAUUCAAUUAUAAAAAAAUAAAUUAGAAUAUGGAUUAUCAACUUCUGCUUUUCUAAGCAACAGUUCAUUGCCAGAUUAAGCUUUAAGAAUCACGAGCUAAAAUACUUAGACAUGGAAACAGGUCUAUCGAUAGCAAGACCAUGGCAAUGUUUGGAUCACAUAUUAAAGGUCUAAUAUCAAGUCAAGCAUAAAGACGGGCAAGGUUACCUCCAAGAUAAAGGUCCAUGCUUGCUGCAUGGAUAUAAUUAGAUAUGAUAAGCUUUUCAUGCUCCUUUAACCCGCCUGUAGUAACCCUGUAAAGGAACUAGAUUUGGAAGUUUGAUGCUCCCAAGUUU
Molecule: long non-coding RNA, 880 nt
Filed under: Eucalyptus grandis
Lineage: Eukaryota; Viridiplantae; Streptophyta; Magnoliopsida; Myrtales; Myrtaceae
Description: long non-coding RNA (EGRA_LNC007154)
Source: RNAcentral